AUUGAACGCUGGCGGCAGGCCUAACACAUGCAAGUCGAGCGGCAGCGGGAAAGUAGCUUGCUACUUUUGCCGGCGAGCGGCGGACGGGUGAGUAAUGCCUGGGAAAUUGCCCAGUCGAGGGGGAUAACAGUUGGAAACGACUGCUAAUACCGCAUACGCCCUACGGGGGAAAGCAGGGGACCUUCGGGCCUUGCGCGAUUGGAUAUGCCCCGGUGGGAUUAGCUAGUUGGUGAGGUAAUGGCUCACCAAGGCGACGAUCCCUAGCUGGUUUGAGAGGAUGAUCAGCCCCACUGGAAAUGAGACACGGUCCAGACUCCUACGGGAGGCAGCAGUGGGGAAUAUUGCCCAAUGGGGGAAACCCUGAUGCAGCCCUGCCGCGUGUGUGAAGAAGGCCUUCGGGUUGUAAAGCUCUUUUGUCCGGGAGGAAAUCCUGGCCUUUAAUACAGGUCGGGGAUGACAGUAAAAGGAGAAUAAGCCCCGGCUAACUACGUG
Molecule: ribosomal RNA, 492 nt
Filed under: uncultured bacterium
Lineage: Bacteria
Description: bacterial SSU rRNA
Rfam family: Bacterial small subunit ribosomal RNA
Source: RNAcentral